Long non-coding RNA from Equus quagga, 2140 nucleotides. RefSeq lists it as uncharacterized. The record is from RefSeq and is a predicted model, not a curated record. The transcript has 3 exons. Lineage: Eukaryota; Metazoa; Chordata; Mammalia; Perissodactyla; Equidae.
GCUCUCUUUCCAACUCUCUUGGCAGAUGUGGCUCACUGUAGCAGAAUUCUUGGGAACAGUGUCUUCAGUUAUGCCAAGAAGAAUGGCAUUUCUCACAAGGAAGUGUGCCGCUGACUUAGAGCUGUCUGUUGCAAGGUUAUAGAGCUCUUCAAGGGAACAGAGUGUGUCCUGCUCAUCUUUACAUCCCAAGUACUUGACCCAAGGCCUUACACAUAAAGAACACUUGUUUCAUUUGGGACUUGGGUGAUGUCGGACUUCCCUUCGCCAUGCAAUCCGUCCCGGACAUCGAUGGGGCUGCCUUGGUGAAGAAUGGUUCACCCAUCCUUUCACCCAUCUCUCACAUCACUUUGAGACCUUAGAUGGUCUCUUGCUGGGUGCACAUUCAUUGUAUCAUCUAAAGAGGUAUGUCUGUUAGACAGUUGUAUUGUCCAACUUGGAUCCAAGCUUGGGUUUCAUUUUUUCCAUUAUCUCAUCAGGGUCUUGAUGAGGAGUUUCUUGAUGUGUCAGGUCUUGUUGGAGAUACAUAGAACUCUGAUCAGUUCAUCAACAGACACUUUUGGUUUUUUACUAAUCUAAAAAAGUUUUCAUAUGAUUUUUUUCUUAAAAAAAUAUUUGAUCUUAAAACAAUUUUACACACACACAGAAUUGCCCUUCCUACCUCAUCAUCUUAUAACAAUUUGCAUUUCUUAAUACCAUACUAACAAUUAACAUUUAUUGAGCACUUGCCGUGUCUAAAAUGCUGGGCUGAGCAUUUACAUGCCUCAUCUCAUUUAUUUUUCACAUCAACCCCAUGAAAUGGACACCUUGAAAACUAUCCUAUUUUAUUUAUGAGGAAAUAGGUUUAGAGAGAUUAAGUAUAAGCUUUUCCAAUUUUGAUCCCCAUGGAAAUUUAAUUUUAUAUGGUUUUUAAUCAUUGUGUGUUUAUAUAUUUUGCCCUACCCUCUUUUUUUCUACUUAAUAGUAUUUCCUAUAAAAGUUUCUGGUGAUUGGAGCUUCUGGAUUGGUGAAUACAUCAAGAUUCUGGGAGGGUGAUGUUCCAGGAGAGGGCAUGGGAGCUCCACGUUCCUCCUCCCAUACCUUGCCCUAUGCAUCUCUUCCACUGUUCCUGAGUUGUAUCCUUUAUAAUAAUAAUAGUCACAGUAAGUAAAGCACUUUCCUGAGUUCUUUGAGUCAUUCUAGUGAAUUAUCGAGUCUUGGAGAGGGGACUGUGGGAACCCCCAAAUUUGUAGCCAAGUCAGAUCCUGUCCACCCUGUUUGCAACUGGUGUCUGAAGUGAGGGCAGUCUUAUGGGACUGAGCCCUUAACCCUGUGGAGUCUGAUGCUAACUCUGGAUAGUUAGCGUCAGAAUGGAAUUGAAUUGUAGGAUGCCUAGUUGAUGUCAAAGAAUCAGAGAAUUGGCUGUUGUGUGGAAAGCCUCCACACAUUUGGUAUCAGAAGUAUUGUGAGUAAAAACAGCGCUUUUGGUGUUAGAAAAUGUGGGAUUGGCUAAAACAGCCCGUGCCCACUGAAACAUGUGGUUCAGGAAGAAAAAGAAUUAAAGGAUGCAGGAUGAGAAACCUUUGAUUCCUGGGUGGCCACGUGGCCACUCAUAGGGUGGUGCAGCAGCUGUGCUGCAAUAAGUUACUAAAGGUAAAAGUUACUAAGGGAAUGUAGAGUUGGAUCCACUUCCCAGGGAGUUGGUUCAUUGGAUGUAUAAGAAAUACAAGCAAAUAAGAAAAAAGCAAAAUAUACAGUCCGUUGGUUAUUGGUAUCUAUAAUAGCUAAAAUAAAUUAAAAGAGUGCUAGGUCAGAUCUUGAUGCUGAACCAAACUCAGAUUUCGAUCAGUCUGAGCUUCAGCCACUAACGUCAAAGCCACCUGCAAAAGGAAGGAUUAAGCAAGACAACAGAGAGUACCCCUAAUACCCCUGGUCACCAAGAAGAUGGUCCUCGCUGAGGGAGGGCAAAACCAAAAAACUAUUGAAAGCAGGAGGUACAGUGUGAAGGAGCUGUUGAAACCGGAAAACAAUCAUUGACGAUUAAGUAUCUAGGUAUUAAAGUUUUUCCCUUUUUGCAAUUACUGAUUAUAGCUUUUAGCUGUUUCACCCACCCAUUGUUAACUGUGCUGCUUAGGCAAUAUGCUAUCUGACUCCCACUAGGCUC